GUAGGUGGCAAGCGUUGUCCGGAAUUAUUGGGCGUAAAGCGCGCGCAGGUGGUUCUUUAAGUCUGAUGUGAAAGCCCCCGGCUCAACCGGGGAGGGUCAUUGGAAACUGGGGAACUUGAGUGCAGGAGAGGAAAGUGGAAUUCCACGUGUAGCGGUGAAAUGCGUAGAUAUGUGGAGGAACACCAGUGGCGAAGGCGACUUUCUGGCCUGUAACUGACACUGAGGCGCGAAAGCGUGGGGAGCAAACAGGGAUUAGAUACCCUGGUAGUCCACGCCGUAAACGAUGAGUGCUAAGUGUCGGGGGGGUUUCCCGCCCCUCAGUGCUGCAGCUAACGCAUUAAGCACUCCGCCUGGGGAUACGGUCGCAAGACUG
This 373-nucleotide ribosomal RNA is filed under the name uncultured organism. RNAcentral's name for it is "partial 16S ribosomal RNA". It matches the Rfam family "Bacterial small subunit ribosomal RNA", at positions 527 to 896 of the family's 1533-position model. The record is from RNAcentral.